RNAcentral lists this ribosomal RNA (252 nucleotides) under uncultured bacterium. RNAcentral describes it as "partial 16S ribosomal RNA". It matches the Rfam family "Bacterial small subunit ribosomal RNA", at positions 524 to 776 of the family's 1533-position model. The record is from RNAcentral.
UACGGGGGGUGCGAGCGUUGUCCGGAAUCACUGGGCGUAAAGGGCGCGUAGGUGGUUUGAUAAGGGUGUGGUGAAAGUCCGGGGCUCAACCCCGGAUCUGCCGUGCCGACUGUCAAACUCGAGGACUGUAGAGGCAGACGGAAUUCCGGGUGUAGCGGUGGAAUGCGUAGAGAUCCGGAGGAAGACCGGUGGCGAAGGCGGUCUGCUGGGCAGUUUCUGACACUGAGCGCGACAGCGUGGGGAGCAAACAGG